UAUUCUACCUCAGAGGAGCGGAGGUAUCUGAGGAGCGGCAAAGAUGAGGACCAUCGGUAAAGUUAGCCUUCAUGAAGGAUAUAAUGGGGGGCCUGAUGCUUAAUUUUCUUGGCUUCUUUCAAGUCAGCUGGUACAACUCCAUCCUUCAAAAAGUGGAUGAAUGGAUCAAUCCAGCUAGAUUCUUCAUCAAUUUGUAAUGCAA
This 202-nucleotide long non-coding RNA is filed under the name Elaeis guineensis (African oil palm). RNAcentral's name for it is "long non-coding RNA (EGUI_LNC007504)". The record is from RNAcentral. Lineage: Eukaryota; Viridiplantae; Streptophyta; Magnoliopsida; Arecales; Arecaceae.